UACAGAGGUCUCAAGCGUUGUUCGGAUUCAUUGGGCGUAAAGGGUGUGUAGGUGGCGCGCUAAGUCGGGUGUGAAAUUUCGGAGCUUAACUCCGAAACUGCAUUCGAUACUGGCGUGCUUGAGGACUGGAGAGGAGAUUGGAAUUUACGGUGUAGCAGUGAAAUGCGUAGAUAUCGUAAGGAAGACCAGUGGCGAAGGCGAAUCUCUGGACAGUUACUGACACUGAGGCACGAAGGCCAGGGGAGCAAACGGG
Molecule: ribosomal RNA, 253 nt
Filed under: uncultured bacterium
Lineage: Bacteria
Description: partial 16S ribosomal RNA
Rfam family: Bacterial small subunit ribosomal RNA
Source: RNAcentral